Nelumbo nucifera (sacred lotus) is the source of this 2801-nucleotide long non-coding RNA. RefSeq lists it as uncharacterized. The record is from RefSeq and is a predicted model, not a curated record. Lineage: Eukaryota; Viridiplantae; Streptophyta; Magnoliopsida; Proteales; Nelumbonaceae.
GCUCCGCCGACAAAUUGGGGCCUAUGCACAGAGUAAGAAUAACAAAAGAAUCUCCACAGCUUCCUUAGCAGUUGCAAUCGAUUGAUCGAAGACUGCAAUUGUAGCUGAAGAGAAACUUCCGAAAAGAAAUCCCCAGGAGGGCAAAGUCGUUCUUCCUUUUUUUGGGAUCGGAUCAUUAGCUGAAAUUAACCGCUAAGAAGAAAUCUCCAGAGAUGAAGCUAAGAAAAGAACAAUGGCCAUUGAUGAGCCUUACAACAUGGAGAUUUUGGAAAGUGACGAUGUGCAAUCUGGCAGCUCCCUGCUGGAGGGCAACUCGGAUGCAGAGCUGGCGAGUUUUCUGAUGCUUAAGUUAGCCAGAUUUUGGAGAGAGCUAGAGUGUUUGAGAGCUGAAUCGUGCAUACCUUCUCUGAGGGAGGGGACACUUUUAUAUAGGCAUAAGAAACCAGGAGUUUCCUGUAACGUGCUCGAGAUUCCCGGGAAACCGUGUCCACCAUGUUCACAGGAGAUUUCUCAGCCGGAUAUGUGAUCCAUACAGAGGGAUAAGGUCCAUCCGAUCAACUCCAAUGCGGACGAUGCGGAAAGACGGGUCUAAUGGUUGAGCGUCGUGAUCCCGGAGAAGUCGGAGACGAUAGCUCACUCGAGGAGGAGGUUACCUGGCAGGUCACUAGCUGAACUUAGGUCAAGUCAGCAGACGCGGGUCACCUCUCAUGCUGACCUGACGUCUUGACGGGACCCGGGCAGUCUAUUGGAAGCAGGUCACAUCAUACACCGACCUGAGAUCCCAUCUAGCUAUUCACAGUUCGGUCUACCGGGGAGGCCCCGAGGUCAUUGGUGCAGUUAUAAAGUGUCUGAGGUGAUCUGCUUACGUGGUGCGGAAGUGUCAUCCAGCUGUUCCGAGAUGCCACGUGUCAUGAACUCAUUAUAUCAUUGGAGGACCAAAUUACCCUCAUCAUAAAGCAUCAAGGAAGAUGAAAUCACCAUAUAUCAUUGGAAAUGAAUGUAGGAUCUCUGUGCUGAAUCCCAUGUUCAUUCUAUAGGCAAUAAAAACAAGAAAGCCGUUGAACUUGAAUCUGCUGCUGUGGUUUACUGGAGAGGGGAUGAAUAAAGCCUGUGCUGCAGAGGAUCUAUGGUACAGCAAGGGAGUUUGAAGACCAGUUGAAAGCAUAACUUCAAAGGAGAGGUAAAAUGCUGGGGUCAUAGAUGCCAGGUAAAAAUUAUACUUUAUUUAUCUGAACCUGUUUUUCAUGCUUGUGUAAGUUAUUCCAAAUAUGGUAUUGCAAGCGAACUCAUGGAGGUAAAAUGUGAUCAUUGUGGAUAAUCUUUAUUACUCUUGCUCUUUGUCAUAAUUAUAUCGUGUCAUAUUGUAACAACAUACAUCUCAGAUAGUUCUAUGAUGUCUUCUUUAUUUUCUUCUUUCUCCUGGGGGUUUUAUCAACUCUCAAGAACUGAGAGAGAGAGGUAUGGGAAAACAUAGAAAAUGUAGCUUAAAGAAACAUGGAAAGUACAAACCUCGGUUAUUAGUUAGACUAUAAUCAUCAAACUGGUGGAACUUUUCCAGAUUGUUCCUAGAGAAUAAAUAUGUUUGUAUUUUAUUCUUAUCUUUUAUUCUUCUGGAAAUUUGUCUUUGUAAUGUCAUUCUGUCUUCAAGUAUGCCUGCAUUCUUGAUAGUUGGGCAGUGUGGCUCCUACUUCAGUCCUUUGUACGCUUGUACUGAAUUUACUGAUAUACAUGUAAAGAGGCUUCAUAUAUGGGAUGCCAUUUAGUUUGAAGACUAGGAAAGAAGAAAUUACAUUUUCUAAGGAGCUCAGCUCUUGCAGGAUUAAGCAGGGGGAGGGUUGGUUUUCUGGAAUCAAAAGAUGCCAUAAACAUGUCAUAGAAGAUUUAUGGAAGAGAAUACGUGUACAACAUGGUUGUGAGCUUCUAUACACUCUAUGUGAGGCAAGGGCAGAUUCGGCAGGAUCAGCAGUCAUCUGGAAUUUUACAGAGAAAAUAUGUAUGAUCAAUGAAUAUGGAGGAUGAACUCUAUCAACUCCGGCCUAUGAAUUGCCCUUACCAUAUUCUGGUCUGCAAAUGGAAGGUGCACUUAUAUAGGGAUUUUCCAAUCAGGGUUGUUGAACUGGGAACUGUUUACUGAUAUGAGCUAUCAGGAAUACUCUCUUAAGUGGCAGUUCUCAACUGUACAGGCAAGUUCCUAAUACACACUAAACUAGAUAUAAAAUCAUUGAAUUGGGGUUUUGAAUCCAUUUAAUUGAUUUGCAGCUUGGAUGAGUUGAAUCAACUUGCAGCAGCAAUAUUGGGUUGGGUCAGGUUGACAGGAAUCCAAGUCUAACAUGGAGGGAUGAAACAAAAACUUUUCCUAAGCACAACUCACACAUAAAAGAAAGAGUUGCACCUAAACCUAAAACCAUUUGGAUCUAGGUUGAACCAAGCUGAGUAUUCUCUUAAUAUGUUAAUAAACAUAGAAUAGGUUGGUUUGGAUUGGGUUCCACAAAGCUUCAAAUGAGUCCAUCCUAACAUCAAAUAGACUGAUGUUUUUCAACCCCAAUUCAACCUGAUACAUGAAGCACAAGUCCAACCCAGCCAAAAAUUGUGUUUGGUGGACUAUUUUAGUUUGACAGUUACCCCAAUCACAUGCUUUCUUGCCAUUGUUUACUUCUCUUUGACAUUUUUGUAUAGAGAAAUGUUGUUUGAUUCUACUUCGUCAGCCAGGCUGCUUGUCGACAGUUACCCCAAUCAUAGUUUUCAAGGUGCCAAGGUGAGGCUAGGCGACAAGGGGGCACCUUGUUGCCUAGUCGCCUAGA